RNAcentral lists this transfer RNA (76 nucleotides) under Elusimicrobiota bacterium. RNAcentral's name for it is "Elusimicrobia bacterium (anaerobic digester metagenome) tRNA-His". It matches the Rfam family "tRNA". From Rfam's summary of the family: Transfer RNA (tRNA) molecules are approximately 80 nucleotides in length. Their secondary structure includes four short double-helical elements and three loops (D, anti-codon, and T loops). The record is from RNAcentral. Lineage: Bacteria; Pseudomonadati; Elusimicrobiota.
GUGGGUGUAGCUCAGGGGUUAGAGCACCCGGUUGUGGCCCGGGAGGCCGCCGGUUCAAAUCCGGUCAUCCACCCCA